Molecule: ribosomal RNA, 507 nt
Filed under: uncultured bacterium
Lineage: Bacteria
Description: partial 16S ribosomal RNA
Rfam family: Bacterial small subunit ribosomal RNA
Source: RNAcentral
GACGAACGCUGGCGGCGUGCCUAAUACAUGCAAGUCGAACGCAUUUUCUUUCACCGUAGCUUGCUACACCGAAAGAAAAUGAGUGGCGAACGGGUGAGUAACACGUGGGUAACCUGCCCAUCAGCGGGGGAUAACACUUGGAAACAGGUGCUAAUACCGCAUAAUUCCAUUUACCGCAUGGUAGAUGGGUGAAAGGCGCUUUUGCGUCACUGAUGGAUGGACCCGCGGCGCAUUAGCUAGUUGGUGGGGUAACGGACUACCAAGGCUGCGAUGCAUAGCCGAACUGAGAGGGUGAGCAGCCACACUGGGACUGAGACACGGCCCAGACUCCUACGGGAGGCGGCAGUAGGGAAUCUUCGGCAAUGGACGCAAGUCUGACCGAGCAACGCCGAGGGAGUGAAGAAGGUUUUCGGGUCGUAAAACUCUGUUGUUAGAGAAGAACAAGGAUGAGAGUGGAAAGUUCAUCCCUUGACGGUAUCUAACCAGAAAGCCACGGCUAACUACGUG